GGACAGGCCAAUGGACACUCAGAGAGGAACUUGGAUUACAUGCUUAAUGCACUGAUUCAGAGAAGGAUAGAUGGUCUCUGAGAUGUCCAAGGUCAAGGUGGGGCCACCAAGUGGCACAAAAGCUGCCCCAGAAGGCAGAAGUUCAGGGUCCCCUCAGCCAUUUCCUCUAGUGCUGCGGGAAGUAAGCACCCCUAUGAACAGGCAGUUGCCCUAGUUAUCCGGCACCAUCUUUCUCCCUCACCCCGCUCCAUGCCUGCAAUCCAAGAUACUCUGGAGCCUGAGGCAGAAGAAUGGCAAAUUUCAGGUCCACCUGGCAAUUUAGCGGGACCCCGUCUCAAAAUAAAUAAAUAAAUAACCCAGUGUGGUAGCACACACCUGUAAUCCUAGCAGCUCAGGAGGCUGAGGCAGGAGGAGCUCAAGUUCAAAGUCAGUCUCAGCAACUUAGUGAGACCCUAAGCAACUUGGUGAGACCCUGCCUCAAAAUAAAAAAUAAAAAGGGCUGGAGAUGUGGCUUAGUGAUAAAGCACCUCUGGUUUAAAUCCCCAGUACCAAAAAUAAAAAUAAAACGGGCUGGAGGCAUAGCUCAGUGGUAACGUGUGAUGUGAGGUGACUCUUCUAUCCCAAGUCUAUCCCCUGAAUCUAGCUUAGGCAUCGCACUCUCAGGGCACUGGGAAUGGCUAAGACACUUAACAUAUAUUUAAAUCAGUCAGCUAGUUCAUGUGGGGCUAAAGUGCAUUCAUGAAGUGGCCUGAGAGGACCUCUAGGGAACAGCAGGGAAGUCCCUGGACCCUCCCAGCAGAAGUCUUUCCUUGCUGGGGCUCUUUAGACCAAAUGAUUAGUGGGUGCCACCCCCACCUCUAUGCAAACUGCUGGACACCUACGGUUUUGAAAACCAAAUGUUUCUUUUUAAACCUGUGGUGAGCUCUCAAAACCAGUGUUAGACACAUCAUCUGACCAGCGGAAAUGGCCUUCUUCUCUCUGGACCAUGCAACAGCUGAGACAGACCUUGGUGGGAUGAUGGGCUGAUAAUUUUGCUAGCACUUGAAGAACACACUACAAGAGAUCCAGAGG
This 1071-nucleotide long non-coding RNA is filed under the name Marmota monax (woodchuck). The record is from RNAcentral. Lineage: Eukaryota; Metazoa; Chordata; Mammalia; Rodentia; Sciuridae.